GAUGAAGAACGCAGCGAAAUGCGAUAAGUAAUGUGAAUUGCAGAAUUCAGUGAAUCAUCGAAUCUUUGAACGCACAUUGCGCCCGCCAGUAUUCUGGCGGGCAUGCCUGUUCGAGCGUCAUUACAACCCUCAGGCCCCCGGGCCUGGCGUUGGGGAUCGGCGGAAGCCCCCUGUGGGCACACGCCGUCCCUCAAAUACAGUGGCGGUCCCGCCGCAGCUUCCAUUGCGUAGUAGCUAACACCUCGCAACUGGAGAGCGGCGCGGCCAUGCCGUAAAACACCCAACUUCUGAAUGUUGACCUCGAAUCAGGUAGGAAUACCCGCUGAACUUAAGCAUAUCAAUAAGCGGUGGA
Molecule: unclassified non-coding RNA, 352 nt
Filed under: soil metagenome
Description: partial contains 5.8S ribosomal RNA, internal transcribed spacer 2, and large subunit ribosomal RNA
Rfam family: 5.8S ribosomal RNA (bases 1-120)
Source: RNAcentral